GGCCGCGUGGCGAAAUUGGUAGACGCAAGCGACUUAAAAUCGCUCGAGCUUUGCUCGUGCCGGUUCAAGUCCGGCCGCGGCCACCA
This 86-nucleotide transfer RNA is filed under the name Alphaproteobacteria bacterium. RNAcentral's name for it is "tRNA-Leu". It matches the Rfam family "tRNA". From Rfam's summary of the family: Transfer RNA (tRNA) molecules are approximately 80 nucleotides in length. Their secondary structure includes four short double-helical elements and three loops (D, anti-codon, and T loops). The record is from RNAcentral. Lineage: Bacteria; Pseudomonadati; Pseudomonadota; Alphaproteobacteria. RNAcentral also lists the same sequence under 1 other name.